ACGUAGGUGGCAAGCGUUAUCCGGAUUUACUGGGUGUAAAGGGCGCGUAGGCGGGAAUGCAAGUCAGAUGUGAAAUCUCCGGGCUCAACCCGGAAGCUGCAUUUGAAACUGUAUUUCUUGAGUGUCGGAGAGGUAGAUGGAAUUCCUAGUGUAGCGGUGAAAUGCGUAGAUAUUAGGAGGAACACCAGUGGCGAAGGCGAUCUACUGGACGAUAACUGACGCUGAGGCGCGAAAGCGUGGGGAGCAAACAG
This 251-nucleotide ribosomal RNA is filed under the name uncultured prokaryote. RNAcentral describes it as "partial 16S rRNA". It matches the Rfam family "Bacterial small subunit ribosomal RNA", at positions 525 to 775 of the family's 1533-position model. The record is from RNAcentral.